This 1627-nucleotide long non-coding RNA is filed under the name Paramuricea clavata. Lineage: Eukaryota; Metazoa; Cnidaria; Anthozoa; Malacalcyonacea; Plexauridae. The record is from RNAcentral.
AAUGUGCUGAGGUCAUAUCGACAAGUUUCAACCUUUCUUUUCAGCAUUUAAUAACAGCAGUGUCAAUUGAGUAGCAUGUUCAUACUUUUAUAGCUAGAGUUAAAUGUUGUUUAAAUUAAUUUUAUACCUGCAUCAUUUGCAAUAUUUCAUUUUUGUGAUCUGCCAGUAAAUACACUGUAUUUGGUUCUUAAUUUUAAACAAUUUACAGAUAAAAGCCCAAUUCGAAAUCACAGUGAUGCAUGACAUCUACAGUUACUGUACUUCAAACAACUAAGUGAACACAUAUUCUGGACAAUUUGCUGAUAAUAUGGUGACUGGUGAUAAAACUGGAUAAUAUAGGAAGAUCAUGAUAUGCAAGUAUCAUCAUGAGGGCAAUACAACUAUCAGACAAAAGUUUUAGUGGUGGAAAUUUCUGCUGUCCGGAGGGGGAGGGGAGACAAAAUUGUUUCUGAUAAUAGUAAAUGUAUUAGGACAUCACAAGGGGGUAGGGGGGUUAACUUCCAAUUUCCUCCGUGGGGGUGGUAUGAAUGUUUUCAUACAUAUAAAUUCCGAUGCUUUUAGAUCUUAUAAAUUACAAUAAAUAAAAACUGUUUAGAAAUCUAGCAUUAAAUAUUAUAUUAAUGAAGAACUUUGAAUUUAACCCAUUGAGCCGCAAUGCGCCCCAUUGCGCCCAACCUUUUUUUACUUGUCUAACGCCAGUCGCCAGACGAUUUUACUCGUUAGUGGGGAAGCUCUGCAGCUUAAUGGGUUAAAGGUUUUAUGAAAGGUUUCAAGAAAAGCUAAUAACUUGUAAACCAGACACCAGAAUAUAUUUGUAACAAGAAACCCAUGUAAUGAAAUCUUAGUGAAUUACAUAUUAGUGAAAUUAGUGAAUUACAUAUUAGUGAAAUUUUGAAAAACAAUAAAAGUGGCAUCAUUAGUUGCUGCAUAUAUGUUUAUUAUUAAAGCAAAACAUUUAUUAAUUAAAUUGUGACUCAAUAAUAUUGUUGGCUGCACCAUUGCUGGCAAGUACCAACCAUUGCUUUUAAAUCGAGUGAUUGUAGCCAUUUCUUGGCAUUGUAAGAAAGAUACUCAUCUGUUUUAUUUUGAACAUUCUUCUAUUGUAAUUAUUAAUUUUGUAUCACAAUGAAUGUUUGUGAUGAAUGUUCAUGACAAUGUGAACUCCAGCUGUAUUCGACAGGCUGAAUAGUGAAUAGGCUAGCCACAUGUACGCAGUGCGUACCUAUUUUUCGGGAAUAUUGUGUAAUCUAGUGAAAUAUGACACCGCUUGCCAUCUAAAGGUCGUAAGGGACGGACCAUUUGACUUUUGAGGGUGGAAGAUUUCGAAAAAAAUUUCCUGCAACCCAAGGAGAAAGAAAAAAAAAAUCAUUCAGCACACAAUCGAGAAAAAAAAAUAUCAUGCAAAAGAGAGCGCUCAAAAAAAAUAUUCUACAUGUAACUCUACUGAUGCUCUUCACUUCAGUAUUGUGUCCACAGGCUUGCAAGAUUUUGCAUUUUUGAGCAGGCACAUUUGCUUAAAAGAACACGGGGUGAACAGAGGAUAACAUCACAGGGAUUCUACCGCCUUUGGAGCCUCUGACAUACAGUAAGUGUUCCUUAGGCUUAGUACAGCAAAAUUGUUGUGGAC